CUAGGUAUAAUCAGUGUCAGAACCCUGCUAUACUGUAUCCACGGUAACAGUAUGGGUAGGUCUAGGUAUAAUCAGUGUCAGAACCCUGCUAUACUGUAUCCACGGUAACAGUCUAGGUAGGCCUAGGUGUAAUCAGUGUCAGAACCCUGCUAUACUGUAUCCACGGUAACAGUAUGGGUAGGUCUAGGUAUAAUCAGUGUCAGAACCCUGCUAUACUGUAUCCACGGUAACAGUCUAGGUAGGUCUAGGUAUAAUCAGUGUCAGAACCCUGCUAUACUGGAUCCACGGUAAGUCUAGCUAGGUCUAGGUAUAAUCAGUGUCAGAACCCUGCUAUACUGUAUCCACAGUAACAGUAUGGGUAGGUCUAGGUAUAAUCAGUGUCAGAACCCUGCUAUACUGUAUCCACGGUAACAGUAUGGGUAGGUCUAGGUAUAAUCAGUGUCAGAACCCUGCUAUACUGUAUCCACGGUAACAGUCUAGGUAGGCCUAGGUGUAAUCAGUGUCAGAACCCUGCUAUACUGUAUCCACGGUAACAGUCUAGGUAGGUCUAGGUGUAAUCAGUGUCAGAACCCUGCUAUACCGUAUCCACGGUAACAGUCUAGGUAGGUCUAGGUGUAAUCAGUGUCAGAUCCCUGCUAUACUGUAUCCACGGUAACAGUCUAGGUAGGUCUAGGUGUAAUCAGUGUCAGAUCCCUGCUAUACUGUAUCCACGGUAACAGUAUGGGUAGGUCUAGGUGUAAAUCAGUGUCAGAACCCUGCUUUACCGUAUCCACGGUAACAGUCUAGGUAGGUCUAGGUGUAAUCAGUGUCAGAACCCUGCUAUACCGUAUCCACGGUAACAGUCUAGGUAGGUCUAGGUGUAAUCAGUGUCAGAACCCUGCUAUACCGUAUCCACGGUAACAGUCUGGGUAGGUCUAGGUGUAAUCAGUGUUUACCCUUCAUUAAAACACACAUCUUUCAUAGUGUGGUCCACUGCUCCCUUUCUAUCUAGUCACAUGCUUCUCAUAUUUCACUAGUCUUAUGAAAACUACAAACAAAAAUCCUAGGAAAAACGCAACA
Long non-coding RNA from Oncorhynchus tshawytscha (Chinook salmon), 1059 nucleotides. NCBI's taxonomy places the organism in Eukaryota, Metazoa, Chordata, Actinopteri, Salmoniformes, Salmonidae. The record is from Ensembl.